This is a long non-coding RNA of Trichosurus vulpecula (common brushtail), 400 nucleotides long. RefSeq lists it as uncharacterized. The transcript has 3 exons. Lineage: Eukaryota; Metazoa; Chordata; Mammalia; Diprotodontia; Phalangeridae. The record is from RefSeq and is a predicted model, not a curated record.
AUACAAUUCUGCCCUCCAAUACAUCUUACUUCCGUUCAUUCUCCUGCGAGAACUGCGUGCCUUGACAUCUGCCUGCCAGCCAUGGACCCCAAGUGUGACUGCGAGAACGGUGCCUCUUGUACCUGUUCAGGCUCCUGCAAAUGCAAGUCAUGCCAAUGUACCUCCUGCAAGAAGACUUGCUGCUCCUGCUGCCCAGAAGGAUGUGCCAAAUGUGCCCAGAACUGUGUCAGCAAGGCCCCCCAGACUGGGAGUUGCAGCUGCUGCCAAUAACAUCCCCAUUUCCCUUUGCCUGUAAAUAGAAGUUGUGCAGAUCUGAAUUUUCACACAGCAUGGAUGUGCUUUCUACUGUUUUUCUACAAAAUUUGUGAAUUAAACUUCAUAAACUUGAUAAAUACCUUUA